This 478-nucleotide ribosomal RNA is filed under the name uncultured bacterium. RNAcentral describes it as "bacterial SSU rRNA". It matches the Rfam family "Bacterial small subunit ribosomal RNA", at positions 147 to 623 of the family's 1533-position model. The record is from RNAcentral.
CCUUCUGAAAGGAAGAUUAAUACAAGAUGGCAUCAUGAGUCCGCAUGUUCACAUGAUUAAAGGUAUUCCGGUAGACGAUGGGGAUGCGUUCCAUUAGAUAGUAGGCGGGGUAACGGCCCACCUAGUCUUCGAUGGAUAGGGGUUCUGAGAGGAAGGUCCCCCACAUUGGAACUGAGACACGGUCCAAACUCCUACGGGAGGCAGCAGUGAGGAAUAUUGGUCAAUGGGCGAGAGCCUGAACCAGCCAAGUAGCGUGAAGGAUGACUGCCCUAUGGGUUGUAAACUUCUUUUAUAAAGGAAUAAAGUCGGGUAUGCAUACCCGUUUGCAUGUACUUUAUGAAUAAGGAUCGGCUAACUCCGUGCCAGCAGCCGCGGUAAUACGGAGGAUCCGAGCGUUAUCCGGAUUUAUUGGGUUUAAAGGGAGCGUAGAUGGAUGUUUAAGUCAGUUGUGAAAGUUUGCGGCUCAACCGUAAAAUUG